RNAcentral lists this long non-coding RNA (404 nucleotides) under Bemisia tabaci. RNAcentral describes it as "lncRNA ENSASIAIIG003197". Lineage: Eukaryota; Metazoa; Arthropoda; Insecta; Hemiptera; Aleyrodidae. The record is from RNAcentral.
UACAGUAAGAAUCGAAAAUCAAAAUUACCAACACAGCAGUUAAAAUCGGGAGAAACGUGGGGAACAACCACUGAACUUAGUGAUGGUGAUGUUCGACGGAUUCAAGACCUUUACCGUUGUAUUGGAACCGAUCAAAAGCCAAAUUUUCCUUUCGAUGUCUUUUGUUCUUUCGAUACAAAUAAUUGCGGAUUCAAAUUUGCCCGAAGAUUCUUCAUUGAAGGAGCAUGGAGGUGGAUUCCUAAAGAAGACGAGAAAGGUGGAUUCCUGAAAAGCGAGUUCCAAAUAAAAAGUAACCAAAACCCCCACAUCUGGAGUAUCAACUUCUAUGGAUUGAGCCCACUCGACAAAAAGCGCGGACCGGAGGGCUGCGUCAGCUUCAUCUAUCGAAUUUCUUCAAAACACAU